UUUUAUUUGAGAGUUUGAUCCUGGCUCAGGAUGAACGCUGGUGGCGUGCCUAACACAUGCAAGUUGAGCGAUUUACUUCGGUAAAGAGCGGCGGACGGGUGAGUAACGCGUGGGUAACCUACCCUGUACACACGGAUAACAUACCGAAAGGUAUGCUAAUACGGGAUAA
RNAcentral lists this ribosomal RNA (169 nucleotides) under Clostridioides difficile. RNAcentral's name for it is "partial 16S ribosomal RNA". It matches the Rfam family "Bacterial small subunit ribosomal RNA", at positions 1 to 176 of the family's 1533-position model. The record is from RNAcentral. Lineage: Bacteria; Bacillati; Bacillota; Clostridia; Peptostreptococcales; Peptostreptococcaceae.